UGGCAACUUACCUGAAGAUCCUCUUAACGAAGCACUAGAGCUUACGCCUCACAUCCAAGGACUCUUAAAUAAUUUAUUACUUCUCUACUCCGAAACUAAGAACGAUUUAGCAAAUAAUUACAAAAGUGUCACCAGACGAGACUUAGUCAUUGUAAGAAGGACAAGAUCGGGCACUCAAGACUCAACCAUGGUUAUCUAAUUUCUUCUACCGCCAGACCCAUUUGCACCAGCUGUAGUUCCAAUUUGACGAUAAAACACAUAUUGACUGAAUGCCACAAAUAUGCCCCCCAUACCCAAGACCGCAGAUCCAGUUCAAGACCAAUUUCAAAGACAUCCUGAAUGACAAGGAGUUAAUCUCUUUCAAUUUCUAAGGGAUAUGAAUUUUUACCAUAAAAUAUAGAACAAUUAUAUAUUGAUAAUGUGUUAAUGUGUGUAUGUAUUAAUAUAAUUGUAAUUGCACCUGUGUAAGUGGCCUUAGUAGCCGAUCACGUUAAAUAUGAAUGAAAAAAAAACUUUUAGUACGGUCAGUUAUUCACGUUACGUCAAUUAAAUCAUUGCCUCUUUUUACGAAAAUACUGUCAACAACUUUCAUUUCUAUUGAUAGAAUAAGAUAUUAUGUGGAAAAUAUGUGUUUCAUAAAUAGGUUGAGUCACGUGAUGGAAAACCUCCACCGUUUCUACUAUAGAGAAACAAAAGUAAACUUCAAUUCUAUCUACUCAAACCCUAGAUUUUUACACUAGUAACAAGAGCACGGAAACAUUUGAAUUUGUAAUAACUGUAAAUGCGGGUUGUCAUUGCGCGAAAUGAGUCUCUCCUUCGUAUUCACCCCGAAACUAGUUUCGCGAGUAUGUUUCAAAGUGAGUCAACAACAGUCGGUUUUCGAUCGCGCAUCAAACAGCUUCGCCUUUCGUGUUGACGCCAGCGUAUAUAUCCACCAUGUGUGUCGCGCUAAAAAUGGAUCAGGCUGCACUAGUCCGCACAAACUGACGGCUUACGCUAUCUUCGCCUAGAAUCCGAAAUGUUUCGUCCAGUCCCCCGAAGACAUUCUCGCGAAACAGUUCGCGUAGUGACACCCCGUCUUAAAAAAAGGGUCUGGAAGUUAAACAUUGCGAAAAAUGGAAAUCCGAUGGAAGGAGGCCUAAACUAAAAAAUGAAACAAUAGAAAGACAAGAAAAUAAAUUCAAUGACCAUCAUCAAUCAUAUGAGUGGCUUAACACUUGAAGACGGUACCGAGAAAAGCACGUUCCACUUUAUGAUAUACAAGUUUAGGACUUUUUUGAUAGUUCGUUUGUGGUUGGGCCAAAAUAUUUAUAUUUAUAAUCACAAUAAGCCAAAUCAAGUUCAAUUUUUGACAUACACAUUCAGAAACUUUAUUAGUCACUAGACAUCACGAAUUGUGUAUUAACAGGUGAAUAGGGAAAUAAAUGAAUAAUGACAACUA
Diorhabda sublineata is the source of this 1441-nucleotide long non-coding RNA. RefSeq lists it as uncharacterized. The transcript has 2 exons. NCBI's taxonomy places the organism in Eukaryota, Metazoa, Arthropoda, Insecta, Coleoptera, Chrysomelidae. The record is from RefSeq and is a predicted model, not a curated record.